CCUACGGUGGGCUGCAGUGAGGAAUAUUGGUCAAUGGGCGAGAGCCUGAACCCGCCAAGUCGCGUGAGGGAGUACUGCCCUCUGGGUUGUAAACCUCUUUUGUCGGGGAGCAAAAGCCGGACGUGUCCGGCUGUGAGAGUACCCGAAGAAAAAGCAUCGGCUAACUCCGUGCCAGCAGCCGCGGUAAUACGGAGGAUGCGAUCGUUAGCCGGAUUUAUUGGGUUGAAAGGGUGCUCAGGCGGAUUUUUAAGUCAGCGGUCAACUCGUGGGGCUCAACCCCAUCCAGCCGUUGAAACUGGGGAUCUAGAGUGUGCGAGAGGUAUGCGGAAUGCGUGGUGUAGCGGUGAAAGGCAUAGAUAUCACGCAGAACCCCGAUUGCGAAGGAAGCAUACCGGUGCACAACUGACGCUCAGGCACGAAAGCGUGGAUAUCGAACAGGAUUAGAUACCCGAGUAGUC
RNAcentral lists this ribosomal RNA (458 nucleotides) under uncultured bacterium. RNAcentral describes it as "partial 16S ribosomal RNA". It matches the Rfam family "Bacterial small subunit ribosomal RNA", at positions 338 to 795 of the family's 1533-position model. The record is from RNAcentral.